Molecule: long non-coding RNA, 1587 nt
Organism: Corvus moneduloides (New Caledonian crow)
Lineage: Eukaryota; Metazoa; Chordata; Aves; Passeriformes; Corvidae
Source: Ensembl
AUGGCUCCUCUGGAGCCUCGGCCAGCUCCUGGCUGUGCCCUUGCUCAGGGGCACCUGGAGGGGCUGGGUCAGGCUCUGCCACGGUGCCCUCCUGCUCCUGCCUCGCCAGCUCUGGUGCCAGCUCAGCCUCUGGCAGUGGCUGCUGCUGGCUCAUCUCCUGGCUCUUGGCAUCUUCUUCAUCAUCUUCCUGGGCUUCCUCCAGCUCUGCUGGCGAUGUGCCAUCUCUCUCCUCACUUUUCAGCCUUCCUGCACUGCUCGGGGUGUCAUCUGUCCAGGCUGGCUCUUCUGUCCCCAAAACUCCCUCUGUGUCCUCUGCUGUCACCUCCCAGUCCUCUGGACAGGGCUCUUGGCCACUGCCAUCAUCCCCCCCAGCCCAGGGCUCCUCUCCUGGCUUCAGCUCCUCCUGUUCCCCCCCUGCUUCCACAGAGCCGCUUUCCUGCAGGUCCUCAGGCUCCUCUGGGGCUCUGCUCUCCCACUCCAGGGUGUCACCUGCCACAGCCUCUCCUGCCUCGGGAUCCUCUCCUGCCUCGGGAUCCUCUCCUGCCCCGGGAUCCUCUCCUGUCUCGGAGCCCUCUCCUGCCUCAGAGCCUUCUCCUGCCCCAGGAUCCUCUCCUGCCCUGGAGUCCUCUCCUGCCUCAGAGCCUUGUCCUGCCCCAUGGUCUUCUUCUGGCUCGGAGUCCUCUCCUGCCCUGGGGUCCUGUCCUGCCCCAUGGUCCUCUCCUCCCAGCGUCUCCCUGCUGGCCUCUCCCUUUUCUCCCUCGCCAUCUUUCACUCUGCCUGUGUCCUCCCCUCCCACAGAAUCUUCUUCAGCUCCUAAUGAAGCCUCCUCUGCUGGGAUGGCCUCAUGGACACUCGAGGGCUCCUGCUCUGGGCACAGCUCCUGUCCCCUUUCCUCCUCUGCAGCCAGAUCCAUCUCACACACGGGCAUUUUCUGCUGCUCAGACCUUUCCUGCUCUGCAUCAACAAAGUCCUCUUCCAGGUGACCUUUUGUGGGCAAAGCCAGGUGGCUUUCUGCAAGGACAGCAUGAGCAGAUUCUCUGUGCAGACACUCCUCUUCUUGCACAUCUUUUCCUUCUUCCUGGAAAUCUCCAUUCUCCUCGCAGGGGCUGUGGAGUCCCCUCUCCUCCUCCUCCUCCUCUGAGGGGUGUGAUGGCUCUGUGCUUGGGGUCUCUGCCCUGUCCUCCUCUUGCUCUGGCUUUUCCCAGCUGGUCACUGUCUGUCCAGGGAGACCCCUGUCCCCUGCCUGGGCCUCCACUUCUGAAUCCCUCGGGCUCAGCACAGCAGGUACUUCCUCCUCCUCCUCUUCCACCCACGCUCCCAAAUCUUCCCGGCUCCCUGAGGCACUCAAGGAAGCGGCCAUGCCCGGUGGGGACAUGGCUCUGUCCUGCAGGAUGCUGCUCUCCACACCCAGCCCCUGGAGCACGACUUCCCCAACCCUCUCCUCUGCUUCAGGGCUGUCCCCAUGCUCAGAUCCCUCAGAGGGGUCUUGCUCUUCCCCAGGCCCCUCUGACACAGCCCCUCCACAAGCCUCUGUGGAGAAAACGGGGCUGGGGACACGGGCAUCCCGGGGGGCCCCCACGGUGCUGA